GGAACAAGAGUCGGUUUCCAUCCUAUCGGCGGCAACUGAAGUCCAAAGGAAAAUAAAAGUGGUGACACAUUUCUCUCACAGCAUUCCCAAGUUAGUCUGCCCGGACGGCCAAGAUGGGUUGCUUAUUAGCACGAAGAACCUUAACCGUGUGGUGAAAAUCAACCUGACGGCAAUGACGAUGACUGUGGAGAGCGGUGUCACGUUGAGACAACUGAUUAAUGAAGCAGCCAAGGCUGGCUUGGCAUUGCCUUAUGCACCGUAUUGGUGGGGACUGACCAUUGGAGGGCUUUUAGGUACAGGCGCUCAUGGGAGCUCGUUGUGGGAGAAAGGGAGUUCGGUUCAUGAUUAUGUAGUGGAGAUGAGAAUUGUAAGCCCUGCAAAAGCUGAAGAUGGAUAUGCUAAGGUGUGGGUGUUAAAUGAAAGUGACAAAGAUCUCAAUGCAGCAAAGUUUUCACUUGGAGUUCUUGGGGUAAUCUCUCAGGUAACUCUCACUGUCUCACAGCUUCCUUUCUCCAUUUGCCAUUGUUCUCUUUGGGAUGAUAUGAUUAUGAGCUGAUUGUUUGAUCAUAUGAUUAAACUAUAUUCUAUCGAUGAAAGCUGGAAAUUCAGGAAUCAAGAAACCAUCCACUAUAGCUCUCACCUAUUGUUCUUGCGCAUAAUGGUAGUGAUGCAGUGUCGGGGGAACCGGUCCCCCUUAGUUUUGUCAAAGGAAUUUUUUAUUUUUUAGUGUUAGAAGGAAUACUUUUGUCUUAUGAAUAAUUGAAUAAAUUUAUUAUUACUUAAAUUCAUAGUUAGCUAUCAACUUGGGGGUGGAUUGAAAAUUUAAAGAGUUUGGAUAAAAAUUAUAAAAUCGAAAAAUAUGUUUGGAACAAGUAUAAUUUGUAUAGAAUUAUACUUUUUUUUAUUUGACAUUAAUUAGUGAAAUUUUUAUUAUAUAAUUUAUUUUUCUACUUAAGUAAAUUUCUUAUUUUUUCUUUAUAUUUUGUGAUCAUCCUAUUAUCAUUAUCGAUAUCUAUUAUAAUAUAUAUAUAGAUAUAUUUAUGUAUAAUUCUUUGAUUAUUUUAUAGGUCACACUCAAACUUCAAUCUCUUUUCAAACGAUCCAUUACUUAUGUAAUGAAAGAUGACACAGAUUUGGGAGAUAAAGUAGUAACUUUUGGUAAACUCCAUGAAUUUGCUGACAUAUUUUGGUAUCCUAGCCAACGAAAGGUAGCCUACAGAAUCGAUGAUCGGGUUCCCGUUAAUGUAUCUGGGAGUGGUGUCUAUUAUUUCACUCCAUUUCGCUCCACUCUUUCAUCUGUUUUGUCUGUUAUCCGAUCUGUGGGUUUGUAUUGACAAUCACUAUUUCUUUUAUUUUCUUCAUUACAAAUUUGUAAGAGAAAAAAAAAAUAGAUGACACUUAAUCCUUAAUCUUUGACAUCAACUCACAACAAUUUUAUUAUUAUACGAUUUUGUUCGCCGCCGUUACCAUUACAAAUGCAUCAACUUCAUCAAAAUAGCAUUUUAGCUUAUUUAUUUAUUUACUUGUAUGAAUUUGUUUAAUGAUUUAGAGGAAACUCAAGAAUCCUUAAGAGAUACUGAAGGGAAGUGCCUGAAUGCAAAGCUAGUGACUUCAACACUUCAAUCGUCUGCUUAUGGCUUAACAGACAACGGUAUACCCCCUAGUCUCUUUCUUUUAAUAAUACCUACUUCGAAUAAUUGAAUCUCUUUGAUUUUAUAAUUUUAUUAUUUAGUCUAAAUAGUUAAAACUGUUAAUUAAUUCGAUUAAAAUACGUACAUAAAUUUUCUAAAAAUAUCUCUUUAAACACAUCAUAUUUAUUGAAGUGGUUAAUGACAGGAAUAAAGCCAAGAUUAGCCAAGAUCUUUUUGCUAAUGAGAACAAGAUAAAAUUAUAAAUUGUGGAGCAAAAUUAAAAAAAGUUAUCAAAUAAAUCUAAAUUGAAUUAUUUACUUUUGAAAGGUAUCAACACAAUUUUUUCUUUCCAACCAAGAGGGACCAAUAACCUUAUCUUCAUGUGCCUCUAUUUAAUGGUGUUACUUAUUUGAAGUAUGUAAUCCCAUUAUAAAAAUAUAUUACCAAAUUAUGUAAAAUUAAAUAUAACAAGAGUUAAAUUAUAAUUUAAGAAAAAUGGAGGGUUCAAAACUAAAAUUUGACCGAAAUAAUCUAUAGCUAAGUAUAUGCUUUUUGCUUCUUUCAUUCAUGAAAUGUAGGUGUCAUUUUUACGGGCUAUCCAGUAAUCGGAUUCCACCAUCGUCUCCAAUCAUCGGGAACUUGUCUAGACAGCCAUAAAGACUCAUUGAUCACCGCAUGCCCUUGGGACCCCAGAAUCAAAGGCGAGUUCUUUCACCAAACCACAUUCAGCAUCGAUUUAUCGGUCGUGAAAAGCUUCAUCCAAGACGUGCAGAAGCUAGUGUCAAUGGAUCCUAAAUCACUAUGUGGGCUAGAACUUUACAAUGGGAUCGUCAUGCGCUACGUUAAAGCUUCCACCGCUUACUUGGGCAAGCAAGAAGACGCCAUAGCUUUCGACAUUACCUACUACAGGAGCAAAGACCCCAUGGCUCCUAGGCUUUACCAAGACGUGUUGGAAGAGAUCGAGCAAAUGGCGUUGUUCAAAUACAAUGCUUUGCCGCAUUGGGGGAAGAACCGUAACCUGGUGUUCGAUGGGGUGAUGAAGAGAUACAAGAAUGGUGGAGAGUUCUUGAAGGUUAAAAAUAAGUAUGAUCCAUGGGGAUUGUUUUCGAGUGAGUGGACUGACCAAGUUCUUGGACUGAGAAAUGGGGUCACCGUAUUGAAAGAAGGGUGCGCUUUGGAAGGAGUGUGUGUUUGUUCCCAAGAUGUUCAUUGUGCUCCAAGGAAAGGCUAUUUGUGUAAACCUGGGAAAAUUUUUCUAGAUGCAAGAGUAUGUGCUCGUGUAAAUACUAAGAAUUAGAGCGAAAUGAUAUAUACACUACUCUUUUGAACCACAUGGUUAAAAUGAUAUGUAAUAACUAUGAACAUAAAAGGAAAGAAUAUAUAAAAGAUAAUUAUGCUUUAAAUCUAAUUAUUAACUCCGGUUAAAAAGAAACUAAACCAAUCAACUAAAAUAUUGAAGAUGAAUGUAUGGUAUUCAGGAUUUUGUUUUAAAUCUAACUGUUAACUCCCGUUAAAAAUCUAGGGGUUUUUUUUGGCUGAAGAGUGAAAAAGUGUUGGCUCUCCAUCGUCCACCACAUGCUACCCCUACUCAUCAGCAUUGGGAUAUUAACGAGUCAAUUUAGGGUUCAAAGCUGCAUGCAUCCACAACAACGAAACCCCAUGAUUUUAAUUUCAUGGAAUAAUCUUAAGUCCCCAGCUAUGAGGUUGGAGUUCAACCAUGUGCAGACAUAAUGAAUUUGUUUUACAACCAAAAUAAUUUACUUGUAAUCCCACGAUUUCACAUGUGAAUUACUUGACAAAACACGCAAUUUAGAAAAUGAAAGGCAACAAAUUCAGAAAUGCAAUUCCUUCAAAAAAAAAAAAAACCAAUUGAUGACAUCAGGGAUUUAAAUAGCGGUCCGAUACCGGUAUAGCGGCCGCUAUAUAGUGGUAGCGGUGGAUCGCGAUCGCAAUUUAACAGGUAACGGCCAAUUACAGCAAUAAUGGGCUGCUAUUCCCGUUAUUUUACAAUAGGUGUCUAAAAAAGGGCAUGUGACAGACGCAGGAAAAGAAGAUGGUGGCUGGACGACGACUGAAAUUUUGAUGAAACAUUGGCAUUUGAGGGCUUGAACGUCGAAGAACAAUGGUGUUUACAAGAUGAUUUCUGUUUCCUUAAGUUUGAGUCACUGGAUGGAUGUGUAAGUUUUGGGGAGAAGAAGAGACUGAGGUAGUCGAAAGGUCUGCUGAAAACUUGAAAAUGAAGAAGAGAUAAGCACAGAGGGGUUUUUCCAAGAACCUGUUGCUUUUCGGGAGCUUAGCCUUUAGAUUUUUUUUGGCUGAAAUUAGGAAGUUUGUAGAGCACCCUCUAUUACUUAGCUGGAUAUAAGUUUGUUUUUCGGCCUUUUAUGAUUGUUUUAUUUUGGGCUUUAUUUGACUUUUUCUAUUAAAAAAAUAGUAAAAUAAAAUAUCAAUAUUUUCAUUUAAGUAUUUUAACAUAAAAAAUAUAUAAAAAUAUUUUUUUAUUACUGUAUCCUAUUGUAUUCGUGUCCAUAUCGAGUCGUAUUCAUAUUGCGUAUCCGUGUCCAUACUUUAUAGCUAAAAAUAAUUAAAAGUGACUUUUUAAAAUUAUAAUUAUAAUUAUUAUGCUUUAAAAUAAGUUGUGCGAAUUUUAAAAAAUUUCACGACCGCGAUACCCGCAGUGACCGCAAUAGCAUCUAUUAUGUCCACAACCGCGAUAAACGCAACACGACCGAAAACGCGGCCGCAACCGCAAUUUAAAUCCCUGAAUCACACCUUACCAUUAACUAAAACAAAAAUAUAGUAAAUAAUUAAUAAAUAAAUACUAUUAAAUAAUGAAGACAUACUUGUCAGAAGCAACUUUCUAUGAUACACAACUAUAUAUAAAGGUGUGUAUUCGAAAAUGAAUGGAUCAAUCAAUUGUAUAGCCAACAAGUUUCCAUCAACCAUGCCAAUUAUACCAGUGUUGUAUUCAAACAAGUUCAAUGAGCUUGUCCUGUUGAAAUGCCUCUUUCUAUUAGUUGUUUUGGUGGGUUGCAGUCCUCCAAGGGAGCCUGUCAAAUGUUCCAUGAAAGAUUCAAACUGCACCGUCACGAACUCUUACGACGCAUUCCUCGAACGAACCAUUUGCCAAGCAGGGAACGUGGUUUACUCGAUAUCGGAACAAAAGUUGGUUUCCAUCCUAUCGGUGGCAACUGAAGUCCAAAGGAAAAUGAAAGUGGUGACACAUUUCUCUCACAGCAUUCCCAAGUUAGUCUGCCCGGACGGCCAAGAUGGGUUGCUUAUUAGCACGAAGAACCUUAACCGUGUGGUGAAAAUCAACCUGGCGGUAAUGAUGAUGACUGUGGAGAGCGGUGUCACGUU
This 4991-nucleotide long non-coding RNA is filed under the name Gossypium barbadense (sea-island cotton). RNAcentral's name for it is "long non-coding RNA (GBAR_LNC011655)". Lineage: Eukaryota; Viridiplantae; Streptophyta; Magnoliopsida; Malvales; Malvaceae. The record is from RNAcentral.